Long non-coding RNA from Ostrea edulis (European flat oyster), 570 nucleotides. RefSeq lists it as uncharacterized. The record is from RefSeq and is a predicted model, not a curated record. The transcript is spliced from 2 exons. NCBI's taxonomy places the organism in Eukaryota, Metazoa, Mollusca, Bivalvia, Ostreida, Ostreidae.
AAUCACCAUGUUUCAGUUUAAUACUUCAAUUCAGUGAUGUCACCAGAAUAGGUAAACUUUGAUCUCAAAGUUUUAAAUUAUGUUGAAUUGGUAUUCGUCAUGUGAUGUUUUUUCUCAAGAAUAUGCAAUAAUUUCCCCCAUAUCAGGUAUAUAAGGAUUUCAAGUUAUCUGUAAGCGUCACUUGAACUUGCUGAUUUAAAAUGUCUCGAAUUGUAAGCAUUCUGUUGCUCGGAUUGAUGUGCACAUGCGCCUUUGCGCGCUAUCCACCAACGAAACCCGGCGCAUGCCCACCCCCGAGUCAGGGAAACCCGUUCACCAUCUGUCUGGCCCGCUGUUCUUCAGAUUACAAUUGUCCAGGCGACCAAAAAUGCUGUAGCUUUGGCUGUCUGAGAGACUGCAGUCCUCCAGUUUACAGGCGUUAUUGAAACAGACGAUGAAAUGAAGAAUUGAUUUCCUGACAUUUACUGCACAGAGAAGGUCAAAGUUAGAUUUCUCAUUGUAAACAUGCAAUUUUCCUAGUUGCACUGAUUACUGUGAAAUAUAAAAAGAAAUAAAAUAUUACAUAGUUGA